UCCCUCUUUGGAAGGGAGCUCUGUGAAAGCACAGUCCCCAGUCCUAUGAGUGGCCAGGGAGUGAACUAAUAUUUACCUGUAAUUUCCUGAGUUCUUUUUCACCUCCUCUUUCCUCCGAUAUUUAUUAAAGGUCAGUGGGAUAAGUAGGUAUGUAUUACGUGACCUCUGUUUUAUGUAUGGGAAACAAGGUGACGAGUCCAUAGUCACCCCAUCAGUUGAGUGAAGGAAAAGGGAAGUAAACAUAGACUGAACUCUUUGGACUUUAAUUCCAUUGCCCCUUUUUAAUCCCCCCCCCCUUUUUUUUCUUCUCUUUGACAGAAACUAAACCCUGGUAGGAAAAGGUUAAGAUCUCAAGGAAGACAAGACUUGGGCCAAGGCAGAUUGAGGGGAGAUGUCAAUACUCAGAGAAACCACAGCCACAGAAUUAUAAGGACUUGAAGGAAAGUUCCAUGUGCUGUGGCUACCUUCCUCAUGUUAUUGACAGUUCCCUGCCUGGGAAUCACCCUGAGGUCACUUAGAGCCUCUCUCUACCACCGGAUGUUAGGAG
RNAcentral lists this long non-coding RNA (547 nucleotides) under Sus scrofa (pig). RNAcentral describes it as "lncRNA (ENSSSCG00070007201.1)". The record is from RNAcentral. Lineage: Eukaryota; Metazoa; Chordata; Mammalia; Artiodactyla; Suidae.